GUUAAUGUAGCUUAACCCAAAGCGUGGCACUGAAGAUGCCAAGAUGAGCUGUAAAAAGCUUCAGUAACA
Molecule: transfer RNA, 69 nt
Filed under: Gymnothorax eurostus (Abbott's moray eel)
Lineage: Eukaryota; Metazoa; Chordata; Actinopteri; Anguilliformes; Muraenidae
Description: tRNA-Phe
Rfam family: tRNA
About the family: Transfer RNA (tRNA) molecules are approximately 80 nucleotides in length. Their secondary structure includes four short double-helical elements and three loops (D, anti-codon, and T loops).
Source: RNAcentral